ACCCAAAAUCUUCAAAAUGAAUCACGGGAUAUUGUUUCCAUGAUAAAGGUAAUUUUCCCUAUUAUGAAAUCUCUACAUAUGAUAUGAGAGCAAGGUUAUGAAAAGAUACACAAAAUCCAAAGGACCUCCCAAUUCUAAUGCUGAAGUAUGCUAAAAUCUAAAAAAUUUCAAUUGUAUGGAUCUCUAUUAUUAGACUAAGCUA
RNAcentral lists this unclassified non-coding RNA (202 nucleotides) under Hevea brasiliensis (rubber tree). Lineage: Eukaryota; Viridiplantae; Streptophyta; Magnoliopsida; Malpighiales; Euphorbiaceae. The record is from RNAcentral.